CUUCCGUAGGUGAACCUGCGGAAGGAUCAUUACUGAAUUGUCAAACGGGUUGUUGCUGGCCCUCAUAGGGGGCAUGUGCACRCUCUGUUUACACAUCCACUCACACCUGUGCACCCUCUGUAGUUCUAUGGUCUGGGGGACCCUGUCUUCCUUCUGUGGUUCUACGUCUUUACACACACACUGUAAUAAAGUUUUAUGGAAUGUACAUCGCGUCUAACGCAAUACAAUACAACUUUCAGCAACGGAUCUCUUGGCUCUCGCAUCGAUGAAGAACGCAGCGAAAUGCGAUAAGUAAUGUGAAUUGCAGAAUUCAGUGAAUCAUCGAAUCUUUGAACGCACCUUGCGCCCCUUGGCUAUUCCGAGGGGCAUGCCUGUUUGAGUAUCAUGAACACCUCAACUCUCAUGGUUUGCCAUGAUGAGUUGGACUCUGGGGGUUUUGCUGGCCUGUGGUCGGCUCCUCUCAAAUUAAUCAGCCUCCCAGUGUUUGGUGGCAUCACGGGUGUGAUAAAUAUCUACGCUCGCUGUUGUCUGCCAGGUAACCUUUGGUCACAAAGGUUUGCUGGAGCUCACAGAUGUCUCUCCUCAGCGAGGACAGCUUUUUUAACGUUCGAUCUCAAAUCAGGU
This 624-nucleotide ribosomal RNA is filed under the name uncultured Thelephora. RNAcentral describes it as "eukaryotic LSU rRNA". The stretch from base 231 to 385 matches the Rfam family "5.8S ribosomal RNA". The record is from RNAcentral. Lineage: Eukaryota; Fungi; Basidiomycota; Agaricomycetes; Thelephorales; Thelephoraceae.